This 1469-nucleotide long non-coding RNA is filed under the name Homo sapiens (human). Its description in RNAcentral is "FHIP1A divergent transcript, transcript variant 5 (FHIP1A-DT)". Lineage: Eukaryota; Metazoa; Chordata; Mammalia; Primates; Hominidae. The record is from RNAcentral.
GCAGUGUAGCACUCGCGCCCUUGGGGGCUAGCGUUUGGCCGGAGCUACACACUCUUUACUCACGCACGCACACCGCCGUACACAGCACAAUCGUUCACCGUCCCGCCAAAGGCUCGUCUCUCGGGUUCUGCCUAGUGGAAGGAGUCGGACAACGCCGCACGUCACGGGCGUUUCGGAUUUCUUGCUUCCCAAAGGUUUGACGGCGGCCACCGGCGCCCCGGCCCAGCUCUGCUUUCCUUUGCUGACUCCUUCCUUUAGCUGUCUACCACCACUGCUGCGCUUGUGGAUGACUGCAGGAACACCGGGUACUUGCCACAAGUAUCUCUCCAGAUUCAUCAGCCUUUCACCUGUGACAAGCUCAGUCAAGAAGUGGCUCCUAAGUAAAAGCUGGGGAAGAACAAGGAAGAUAGAGCUCAGAGUAGAAAGCUGUGAAGUUCUGCACAACAGGUCCCCUUGGCCUGCUCUAACAGUUGGAAGACAGGCAUGGUAGCUCAUGUGGAAGCUUCCCGAGGCCCUCACCCAGAAGCAGAUGCUGGAGCCAUGCUUGUACAGCUUGCAGAACUAAAGCCCAGCUGGCUUGGUUCCAUGAAUCUUUGCCCUUCUUUCCAUCCACUUCUUCCUGCUUGGACAUUGGUUACCUGGAGAAGCAGAAGCCAUUUUAAGAUGAUGAAAGCAAAAGUUAAAUGUAUGAGAUGAUGGUGCAGAAAGCCAAAAGGGGCCUCCAGAACACUGAGCUUUGUGGAGUCGUGUACCAUAGCUGUAUUGCCGACCUCUGAACUUCCUGCUGAGAUAAAAAACAAUCCUUAUGUGUUUAUACUACUUUUAUUUCAGUUUCUUUUAAGUAUAGCAAACACAUUCCAAAUAAUAUGCAUCUGAAGUUUUUGGUUUUGUUUUUAAAUUUUUUUUUUAGGGAUGGGUUCUGGCUGCGUAGUGGCUAGAGUGUAGUGGCUAUUCUUAGGUGCGGUCAUAGCUCACUACAGCCUCUAACUGGCCUCAAGCAAUCCUCCCACCUCAGCUUCCAGGGUAGCUGGGAUUACAGGAGAGCACCACACUGAAGUUUCUGUUAAAUAGAAUGUUUGCUGUAGAUUUUUAGUUGAUGUCCUCUGUUAGGUUGAAAACCUUCCUUUAUUUUCUUGUGAAAUUUCUAAGAGAUUUUUAAAUCAUUAACUGGUAUUGAACUUUAUAAAAUGAUUUUUCUGUGUCUGAGAUGAUCAUGUGAUUAUUUUUCCUGUUUAUGUCCCUUGAUGUGAUGAUUUUUAUUGUAGAUCUUCCUUUAUUGAACCAAAUUUACGUUAUUUAUAUUAACCCUAUUUGAUUGUAAUAUAUUUUUAGUAGGGUAUUAGACUCUGUUACCUAACAUUUUACUUAGCAUUAUUUUGCAUCUAUGUUCAUAAGUAAAAUAGGAGUUUUUUUCUUUAUGUGACUAGGUAUCAACAUUAUAUUGGCCUUAUAAAUUAUGUUGAACACUU